This 453-nucleotide ribosomal RNA is filed under the name uncultured organism. Its description in RNAcentral is "partial 16S ribosomal RNA". It matches the Rfam family "Bacterial small subunit ribosomal RNA", at positions 331 to 800 of the family's 1533-position model. The record is from RNAcentral.
GUACACUCCUGCGGGAGGCAGCAGUGGGGAAUAUUGGACAAUGGGCGCAAGCCUGAUCCAGCCAUGCCGCGUGAGUGAUGAAGGCCCUAGGGUUGUAAAGCUCUUUCACCGGUGAAGAUAAUGACGGUAACCGGAGAAGAAGCCCCGGCUAACUUCGUGCCAGCAGCCGCGGUAAUACGAAGGGGGCUAGCGUUGUUCGGAUUUACUGGGCGUAAAGCGCACGUAGGCGGACUAUUAAGUCAGGGGUGAAAUCCCGGGGCUCAACCCCGGAACUGCCUUUGAUACUGGUAGUCUUGAGUUCGAGAGAGGUGAGUGGAAUUCCGAGUGUAGAGGUGAAAUUCGUAGAUAUUCGGAGGAACACCAGUGGCGAAGGCGGCUCACUGGCUCGAUACUGACGCUGAGGUGCGAAAGCGUGGGGAGCAAACAGGAUUAGAUAUCCCUGUAGUCCCAUGA